RNAcentral lists this transfer RNA (87 nucleotides) under Roseomonas sp. RNAcentral's name for it is "tRNA-Ser". It matches the Rfam family "tRNA". From Rfam's summary of the family: Transfer RNA (tRNA) molecules are approximately 80 nucleotides in length. Their secondary structure includes four short double-helical elements and three loops (D, anti-codon, and T loops). The record is from RNAcentral. Lineage: Bacteria; Pseudomonadati; Pseudomonadota; Alphaproteobacteria; Acetobacterales; Roseomonadaceae. RNAcentral also lists the same sequence under 3 other names.
GGAUGGGUGGCCGAGCGGUUUAAGGCACCGGUCUUGAAAACCGGCGUAGGUGCAAGCCUACCGUGGGUUCGAAUCCCACCCCAUCCG